GGAAGGUGCAAGCGUUAAUCGGAAUUACUGGGGCGUAAAGCGCGCGUAGGCGGCUAGAUUAGUCGGGUGUGAAAGCCCUGGGGCUCAACCUGGGGAACUGCAUUCGAUACUGUCUAGCUAGAGUCUGGUAGAGGGAGGCGGAAUUCCGCAUGUAGCGGUGAAAUGCGUAGAGAUGCGGAGGAACACCAAUGGCGAAGGCAGCCUCCUGGACUAACACUGACGCUGAGGCGCGAAAGCGUGGGGAGCAAACAGGAUUAGAUACCCUGGUAGUCCACGCCGUAAACGAUGUCAACUAGCCGUUGGGAGCAUUUUGGCUCUUGGUGGCGCAGCUAACGCGAUAAGUUGACCGCCUGGGGAGUACGGUCGCAAAGAUUAAA
RNAcentral lists this ribosomal RNA (377 nucleotides) under uncultured organism. RNAcentral describes it as "partial 16S ribosomal RNA". It matches the Rfam family "Bacterial small subunit ribosomal RNA", at positions 527 to 898 of the family's 1533-position model. The record is from RNAcentral.